CCUACGGGUGGCAGCAGUGAGGAAUAUUGGUCAAUGGACGCAAGUCUGAACCAGCCAUGCCGCGUGCAGGAAGACGGCUCUAUGAGUUGUAAACUGCUUUUGUACGAGGGUAAACGCAGAUACGUGUAUCUGUCUGAAAGUAUCGUACGAAUAAGGAUCGGCUAACUCCGUGCCAGCAGCCGCGGUAAUACGGAGGAUUCAAGCGUUAUCCGGUUUUAUUGGGUUUAAAGGGUGCGUAGGCGGUCGGAUAAGUUCGAUGUGAAAUCCCGAGGCUCAACUUCGGAAUUGCCUCUGAUACUGUUCGGCGAGAGAGUAGUUGCGGUAGGCGGAAUGUAUGGUGUAGCGGUGAAAUGCUUAGAGAUCAUACAGAACACCGAUUGCGAAGGCAGCUUACCAAGCUACUUCUGACGUUGAGGCACGAAAGCGUGGGGAGCAAACAGGAUUAGAUACCCCAGUAGUC
RNAcentral lists this ribosomal RNA (460 nucleotides) under uncultured bacterium. RNAcentral's name for it is "partial 16S ribosomal RNA". It matches the Rfam family "Bacterial small subunit ribosomal RNA", at positions 338 to 795 of the family's 1533-position model. The record is from RNAcentral.